CCUACGGGUGGCAGCAGUGGGGAAUAUUGGACAAUGGGGGCAACCCUGAUCCAGCCAUGCCGCGUGUGUGAAGAAGGCCCUCGGGUUGUAAAGCACUUUCAGUGAGGAAGAACGCCUGGUGGUUAAUACCCAUCAGGAAAGACAUCACUCACAGAAGAAGCACCGGCUAACUCCGUGCCAGCAGCCGCGGUAAUACGGAGGGUGCGAGCGUUAAUCGGAAUUACUGGGCGUAAAGCGCGCGUAGGUGGCUUGAUAAGCCGGUUGUGAAAGCCCCGGGCUCAACCUGGGAACGGCAUCCGGAACUGUCAAGCUAGAGUGCAGGAGAGGAAGGUAGAAUUCCCGGUGUAGCGGUGAAAUGCGUAGAGAUCGGGAGGAAUGCCAGUGGCGAAGGCGGCCUUCUGGACUGACACUGACACUGAGGUGCGAAAGCGUGGGUAGCAAACAGGAUUAGAUACCCUAGUAGUC
RNAcentral lists this ribosomal RNA (465 nucleotides) under Vreelandella stevensii. RNAcentral's name for it is "partial 16S ribosomal RNA". It matches the Rfam family "Bacterial small subunit ribosomal RNA", at positions 338 to 795 of the family's 1533-position model. Lineage: Bacteria; Pseudomonadati; Pseudomonadota; Gammaproteobacteria; Oceanospirillales; Halomonadaceae. The record is from RNAcentral.